RNAcentral lists this ribosomal RNA (1177 nucleotides) under Trichoderma reesei. Its description in RNAcentral is "eukaryotic LSU rRNA". The stretch from base 575 to 1177 matches the Rfam family "Eukaryotic large subunit ribosomal RNA", at positions 1 to 626 of the family's 3401-position model. Lineage: Eukaryota; Fungi; Ascomycota; Sordariomycetes; Hypocreales; Hypocreaceae. The record is from RNAcentral.
UCGUUGGUGACCAGCGGAGGGAUCAUUACCGAGUUUACAACUCCCAAACCCAAUGUGAACGUUACCAAUCUGUUGCCUCGGCGGGAUUCUCUGCCCCGGGCGCGUCGCAGCCCCGGAUCCCAUGGCGCCCGCCGGAGGACCAACUCAAACUCUUUUUUCUCUCCGUCGCGGCCUACGUCGCGGCUCUGUUUUAUUUUUGCUCUGAGCCUUUCUCGGCGACCCUAGCGGGCGUCUCGAAAAUGAAUCAAAACUUUCAACAACGGAUCUCUUGGUUCUGGCAUCGAUGAAGAACGCAGCGAAAUGCGAUAAGUAAUGUGAAUUGCAGAAUUCAGUGAAUCAUCGAAUCUUUGAACGCACAUUGCGCCCGCCAGUAUUCUGGCGGGCAUGCCUGUCCGAGCGUCAUUUCAACCCUCGAACCCCUCCGGGGGGUCGGCGUUGGGGAUCGGCCCCUCACCGGGCCGCCCCCGAAAUACAGUGGCGGUCUCGCCGCAGCCUCUCCUGCGCAGUAGUUUGCACACUCGCACCGGGAGCGCGGCGCGGCCACAGCCGUAAAACACCCCAAACUCUGAAAUGUUGACCUCGGAUCAGGUAGGAAUACCCGCUGAACUUAAGCAUAUCAAUAAGCGGAGGAAAAGAAACCAACAGGGAUUGCCCCAGUAACGGCGAGUGAAGCGGCAACAGCUCAAAUUUGAAAUCUGGCCCUUUUGGGUCCGAGUUGUAAUUUGUAGAGGAUGCUUUUGGCAAGGUGCCGCCCGAGUUCCCUGGAACGGGACGCCACAGAGGGUGAGAGCCCCGUCUGGCUGGCCACCGAGCCUCUGUAAAGCUCCUUCGACGAGUCGAGUAGUUUGGGAAUGCUGCUCAAAAUGGGAGGUAUAUGUCUUCUAAAGCUAAAUAUUGGCCAGAGACCGAUAGCGCACAAGUAGAGUGAUCGAAAGAUGAAAAGCACCUUGAAAAGAGGGUUAAAUAGUACGUGAAAUUGUUGAAAGGGAAGCGCUUGUGACCAGACUUGGGCGCGGCGGAUCAUCCGGGGUUCUCCCCGGUGCACUUCGCCGUGUCCAGGCCAGCAUCAGUUCGUCGCGGGGGAAAAAGGCUUCGGGAACGUGGCUCCCCUGGGAGUGUUAUAGCCCGUUGCAUAAUACCCUGCGGUGGACUGAGGACCGCGCAUCUGCAAGGAUGC